Homo sapiens (human) is the source of this 1226-nucleotide long non-coding RNA. Ensembl annotates it as negative regulator of antiviral response. Its record names the gene NRAV. The record is from Ensembl. Lineage: Eukaryota; Metazoa; Chordata; Mammalia; Primates; Hominidae.
AUUUUGUUGCAGACCACAAUGCACCGCUCACGGCGUCGGUUGCCCGGGCAAUGGGCCGCACGCUACGAGGCCCACACACCCAGAAGGUGGAGCCCCGGCCGGGUUACGAGGACCACCCAGCUGUCUGGAGAGAUGAAGAAAAUGAGGUUCAAAGAGAUGAAGUCUCUUGCCUAAAGUCAGUGACAGAAAGUGACAGAGCUGGGAUGUGAAUCCUGGUCUGACUCUACAGUCCCACAUGGUAGAUGGAACCUCCGAGCAACACCUAAACAAAAGGAGUUGAUGCCUCCGAACAGAGUAAUGUCGCUGGAGACACUAAGCAUCGUCGGCCCCUGGCAGGAGCUCCCUAAAUAUGUGUUGGAUGGAUGGAAGAAAGGAUGGAUAGUUCAGAGUACUUCAGCCUUGAUUCCUCCGCAACAGACACCUGAAACUUGACCCUACAUUGGUUCUUGGCCAUCGUGAUCUUCCUUGGACAGAAUCACCUUUCAGCUCCGGUCAUCAGACUUUCCCAGGGCCCUCAGAAAGCCCUUCAGAGUUGUUACUCACAGGCAGGCUGAGGGAUUCCUUACGGGGUCUGCAGCUCUCCUCACCUCAUCCACAAGUAGGACCGUGGCCUGUUCCUCACUACUGCCCCAGGAUCACUCUGUUCCCAGCCCAGUCCAGCAAUCACUUGUCUAGCUUUCUGGAACCUUGAGUACUUUCUUGAACCAUGAGUCCUGUGACCACCCUAGCAGCUCUAACCCUCCCUUAUCUGAAAGGAAGUGUGAGGUGACCUUGCAGGUCCCAGAGUUGAUUGAAGACCCCAUCCAGAAAGAAGGCACCCUGUGGGAGAGAUUGCAAGGCCUAGGUCUGAAUCCGGAAGCUUCCACCCCAUGGAGAAGGGCUGGCACCAGCCUGGGGCUGGCAGUGGAGCUGAGCUUUGGAGCCAAGGACUGUACUGCAGUGCAGGGAGAGUGAGGCCAGAAAGGCUGAGACAACUCAGGGAAAGAAAACCUCCCUUCUGGCUAAUAGUCAAGCACCGCCUGAGUAGACCAACACUCUCCUGUCCACAGGGGCAGCAGAUGAAGACACAACCAGAGAGGACUAACAGGCCCCCUCAGCUCUCAGUCAGAGGGCAGAGCAACACAGAAUAGACAUUAAAGGAACAGACUUUGAGGCCAGGCAGCCUUGGGUGUGCAUCUGUCCCUACUAAGCCAUGUGACAUUAAACAAGUGAGUCCACCUCUCUGA